This 271-nucleotide ribosomal RNA is filed under the name uncultured bacterium. RNAcentral's name for it is "partial 16S ribosomal RNA". It matches the Rfam family "Bacterial small subunit ribosomal RNA", at positions 524 to 794 of the family's 1533-position model. The record is from RNAcentral.
UACGUAGGGUGCAAGCGUUAAUCGGAAUGACCGGGCGUAAAGGGAGCGCAGGCGGUUCGUUAAGUCUGGAGUGAAAGCCCGGGGCUCAACCCCGGAGGGUCUUCGGAUACUGACGGACUCGAGUACGGAAGAGGAGAGUGGAAUUCCAGGUGUAGCGGUGAAAUGCGUAGAUAUCUGGAGGAACACCGGUGGCGAAAGCGGCUCUCUGGUCCGAUACUGACGCUCAGGCUCGAAAGCGUGGGGAGCAAACGGGAUUAGAAACCCCAGUAGU